RNAcentral lists this ribosomal RNA (892 nucleotides) under uncultured bacterium. RNAcentral describes it as "bacterial SSU rRNA". It matches the Rfam family "Bacterial small subunit ribosomal RNA", at positions 1 to 898 of the family's 1533-position model. The record is from RNAcentral.
CUUAGAGUUUGAUCCUGGCUCAGGAUGAACGCUGGCGGCGUGCCUAACACAUGCAAGUCGAACGAGCAAAUACAUUUGAUUUCUUCGGAAUGAAGAUGUAGGCGCGAGUGGCGGACGGGUGAGUAACGCGUGAGUAAUCUGCCUCAUACAGGAGAAUAACACUAAGAAAUUGGUGCUAAUACUCCAUAAGCUCACAUUAUGACAUCAUAGAGUGAGAAAAGAUUUAUCGGUAUGAGAGGAGCUCGCGUCUGAUUAGCUAGUUGGUGGGGUAACGGCCUACCAAGGCAACGAUCAGUAGCCGACCUGAGAGGGUGAUCGGCCACAUUGGAACUGAGACACGGUCCAAACUCCUACGGGAGGCAGCAGUGGGGAGUAUUGCACAAUGGGGGAAACCCUGAUGCAGCAACGCCGCGUGAAGGAAGAAGUAUUUCGGUAUGUAAACUUCUAUCGACAGGGAAGAAACAAAUGACGGUACCUGAAUAAGAAGCACCGGCUAAAUACGUGCCAGCAGCCGCGGUAAUACGUAUGGUGCAAGCGUUAUCCGGAUUUACUGGGUGUAAAGGGUGAGUAGGCGGUCAUGCAAGUCAUAUGUGAAAUGUCAGGGCUUAACCUUGGCGCUGCAUAAGAAACUGUAUGACUAGAGUGCAGGAGAGGUAAGCGGAAUUCCUAGUGUAGCGGUGAAAUGCGUAGAUAUUAGGAAGAACACCGGUGGCGAAGGCGGCUUACUGGACUGUUACUGACGCUGAGUCACGAAAGCGUGGGGAGCAAACAGGAUUAGAUACCCUAGUAGUCCACGCCGUAAACGAUGGUCACUAAGUGUCGGGGGUCAAACCCCGGUGCUGCAGUCAACGCAAUAAGUGACCCGCCUGAGUAGUACGUUCGCAAGAAUGAA